This 254-nucleotide ribosomal RNA is filed under the name uncultured bacterium. Its description in RNAcentral is "partial 16S ribosomal RNA". It matches the Rfam family "Bacterial small subunit ribosomal RNA", at positions 524 to 776 of the family's 1533-position model. The record is from RNAcentral.
UACAGAGGGUGCGAGCGUUAAUCGGAAUUAUUGGGCGUAAAGGGCUCGUAGGCGGUCUGUCGCGUCGAUCGUGAAAACUUGGGGCUUAACCCUGAGCUUGCGGUCGAUACGGGCAUGACUGGAGUUCGGCAGGGGAGACUGGAAUUCCUGGUGUAGCGGUGAAAUGCGCAGAUAUCAGGAGGAACACCGGUGGCGAAGGCGGGUCUCUGGGCCGAUACUGACGCUGAGGAGCGAAAGCGUGGGGAGCGAACAGG